RNAcentral lists this long non-coding RNA (1442 nucleotides) under Betta splendens (Siamese fighting fish). RNAcentral's name for it is "lncRNA (ENSBSLG00000015285.1)". Lineage: Eukaryota; Metazoa; Chordata; Actinopteri; Anabantiformes; Osphronemidae. The record is from RNAcentral.
ACUUCAGGAGGUCCCCUCCACCACACACACCGGUGAACAUCCAGGGCUCAGACAUUGAGACUGUGGACACAUUUAAAUAGCUGGGUGUUCAUCAACAAUAAACUGGACUGGCAAUCCACACCAAGGUCUGUAUAAGAAGGACCAGAGUCGCCUCCACCUGCUGAGAAGACUGUGUGCAGACAGCUACUAAGGACUCUCUAUGACACUGUGGUGGCCUCAGUAGUCCUGUAUGGAGUUGUGUGCUGGGUAAUGUGAAAAAUCUACACUGUGUAGUAUUUACAGUAUGAUGUGCAAUACCUCCAUACACAUACAUGUGCAAUGCACCAUAUAUAAAUACUUGAGUGCCAUGUGUUUUCGUCUUGAUUAUUUCUCAAACAUUUUAAUACUGUUUUUUUUUUUUAUCUUUUAUCUCUGUCUGUUGUUUUUGUCAUUGCUACAAACAAAGGAAUUUCCCCAUCUUAUCGUAAGAUGAAUGUAACAUCAUCAGUGUACUUCAGCUGCUUGAUCCCUUCUUUAACAACUGCCCAGCAUUAAACAAAUGUGGCAGAAGAAGAAAACAGCAUUUCUUCAUAUUGGUAGUUUUAACUUAUCAAAACUGCAGCAAUAGUUGGAUAGCAAUGUAUGGAUGUCUUAUCAAUAUCUUACCUUAUAAAUUCAAAACAACCAAGCUUCAGAAACAUUCACUCUCCUUUACCAGUAGUAUUUUGUCUUUACUGUUGCGGGUCAAUGAUUGAAUUUCACUGAUGUAAACAAGGGAUUCAUUGCAAGGCUACUUUCUCAAAAUACUUCUUCCCUGUUGAGUCUACGCUCCUGCUGUUCACUCACCAACCUGCUCCUGUGGUCACAUAACUUCAUUUUGUCUCCUUCUCGCUGCUUCUUGAUCGCUUUUCAUCUCGACCUCAUGCGCCGACUUUGAACUCUCUCUGCUUCCUUUAUCAUAGUGCGACCAUGGAGGUUUGACGGACAUUUAGACUUUGAUUUUGUGAACAUGGUCUGUGUUACUGAGAUGUUGGGGAUAAUCGAUUUGACCAUGACAUGGAGGAAGGUAAUUUGCCUCAAACGUCAUCGUGCUGUUUCAGGUUAAAGUUGUAGGACAAUUUGAAUGUUUCUUUCCCUUUGAAAGCUGCUGACAUCAGCAUUACUAAAAACUCUUCCACGUCAUUUUCAUUUUUCUAUAUCUUAAAUACUCUUUUAUACUCUUCUUUUCUUCUCUUCUGUCCCGAUUUUUUACAGCAUUCAUUCAUAAUAUUAUAAAAGCUUUUAUUAGGACUACUUCUAAUACUUCUACUUCUGUUGCACUUGUAAGGUUUAAAACAUUAACAUCACGAUAAAAACUCUGUCUGUUCGUGCAUCCUCGAGGUUCUGUGUAAGAUGAAGCAAUCUGUCAAACACCCUCAAGCAUCUCUAACAAGAAGUACUUUAGUUUGAAUAAACAAGUCAAA